Molecule: ribosomal RNA, 151 nt
Filed under: Colpodella angusta
Lineage: Eukaryota; Colpodellaceae
Description: 5.8S ribosomal RNA
Rfam family: 5.8S ribosomal RNA
About the family: 5.8S ribosomal RNA (5.8S rRNA) is a component of the large subunit of the eukaryotic ribosome. It is transcribed by RNA polymerase I as part of the 45S precursor that also contains 18S and 28S rRNA.
Source: RNAcentral
GACUAUCAGCAAUGGAUGUCUUGGCUCCCAUAACGAUGAAGGACGCAGCAAAAUGUGAUAAGCAUUGUGAAUUGCAGAAUUCUUAGAAUCAAUAGAAAGCUGAACGCAUACGGCACUGUAACUUGUUACAGUACGUUUGUUUCAGAGUCAA